RNAcentral lists this ribosomal RNA (404 nucleotides) under Fusobacteriota bacterium. Its description in RNAcentral is "Fusobacteria bacterium partial 16S ribosomal RNA". It matches the Rfam family "Bacterial small subunit ribosomal RNA", at positions 355 to 776 of the family's 1533-position model. Lineage: Bacteria; Fusobacteriati; Fusobacteriota. The record is from RNAcentral.
UGGGGAAUAUUGCACAAUGGAGGGAACUCUGAUGCAGCGACGCCGCGUGAGUGAUGAAGGAAUUCGUUUCGUAAAACUCUGUUCUAUGGGAAGAAAAGGACUGUACCAUAGGAGAAAGCUCCGGCUAAAUACGUGCCAGCAGCCGCGGUAAUACGUAUGGAGCGAGCGUUGUCCGGAAUUAUUGGGCGUAAAGGGUGCGCAGGCGGCUUUACAAGUUGGAUGUGAAAUAUUGUGGCUCAACCACAAACGUGCAUCCAAAACUGCAAAGCUUGAGUUAAGGAGAGGUAAGUGGAAUUCCUGGUGUAGCGGUGGAAUGCGUAGAUAUCAGGAGGAAUACCGGUGGCGAAGGCAACUUACUGGACUUAAACUGACGCUCAGGCACGAAAGCGUGGGGAACAAACAGG